RNAcentral lists this long non-coding RNA (33744 nucleotides) under Ananas comosus (pineapple). RNAcentral describes it as "long non-coding RNA (ACOM_LNC027310)". The record is from RNAcentral. Lineage: Eukaryota; Viridiplantae; Streptophyta; Magnoliopsida; Poales; Bromeliaceae.
AAGUAAAAUUAGGUGUAGGCGCCAGGACGGGCGGUAUCCAACGUGGCACAUUGAAGAGAUUGUGGUCCCACAGGAACGUGCGGCUCAGAUGCGUCGGUAGCAACAACGUUUAUCUUGAUCGUGUAUUAUUACUGUUAUUGUUAUUAUUUUUAUUAUUAUUAAUUGUUUGUUAUGAGAAAAGUUAAAUGGAAAGAGCUUCUGAAGCGUCUUCGGCGCCGAAUACGUGGCGCGCUCAAAAGUCGUCAAGGUGGGUGUGCAUCUGCACAUACUAUGGGUUGAAUUUAAUUACAUGCUUAGUUCUUGAAGUUUAGUUUUAGUACCAUUUAAGUAGAAUUAAGAGUCUCUAAUUAAAUACUUAUUCCUUAAUAACAAAGUAAUAUAUCGAACAAAUCACAAGAUAGCUAAGCCCUCCAUUUUAUAAAACACAAGAUGUAUUUUUCCAUCAUUUGCACUUCAAUAUCACAUUGUUAACACCAACCGAACCUAGCAUAAUUGACUAAAAUUUUAAUAACUAGCACCUAAGGCCUUAAAUUUAGUUUCAAAUCUAAUUAUUUUAUAUUUAUAAUAAUCGAGUCUAUAUUUAAAGAAUAAACAAAGAGACUACCUUUUUCUUAAAACAAAAAUAUUUCACUCGGUUUACAAAUGUAGCAUUAGCAUUUUACUGUCUAUUUAGCAGAAUAUUUUACUGUAAAAUAAAAAAAAAUUAGAUUACAGCGAAAUAUAUAUAUUUUUUUAAACAACAGUAAAGUACAAAUAAAUUAAACCACAAGAUUGCUUCUGGUUGCUCCAGCAGGAAACAAACGGAGGAAUUAAAAAUAGUUGUUGUUAACACCAUCUCACUCUUCAGAUUGAUCCUCCGUUCCAUCAUUAUAGCAAGCAAAAUUGUCACAUACCAACCACCCACAGUGUACCCGUUUCCUUAAAAUAUAGUAAUAUUUUGCUAAGAAUACCAGCAAAAAAAAUGCAUCCAACCGAAUUUUCAGCUGCUUAGAAUAGAAGGCAAAAAUUUAAAAGUAAUCUAUACCGAUACAACGCUUUCGCCAAAACAGCUGAAUGAUCUAUUUUAGCCCAUUCGUGCUCCGAGCCUAGAAUUGCACACUUUCCGCAAUGCAGAGCAGCACAGAUUAGACCAUUUCAGCUAUGUAUAUAGUUUUCCGAAUAAUAAAAGAAAACUCUGAGGCGGAAACUCCGUUCACUGCUCGGAAGCUGGUAGGGGCUGAAGGGCUUUGAGGGGAUUCAUGAUGACUCCGUCGAUUAGGCCGUACUCCUUGGCUUCUUUUGCGCUCAUGAAGAAGUCCCGGUCGGUGUCUUGGUUGAUCUUCUCGAGCGGUUGACCGGUAUGGUAUGCUAGAUAGCCAUUCAAAUUCGCCUUGUGAUGUAGCAUCUCAUUAGCCUGAAGCAAAGCAAAAUUAUUUAGAUAUAUUACCAUUAAACCAAAUUAAUGUGAAGUUUUUUGUUUUUCUUUUCUUUUUGAAUAUCCAUGUAUCGAGCAAAAGUUUUAAGGUUUACCUGGAUGUCAAUAUCAGUUUGUCCACCCUGGGCUCCUCCGAGAGGCUGAUGAAUCAUUAUUCGGGAGUUGGGUAAGCUGUAGCGCUUCCCUGCAUCAAUUUGGAUUGCGGAAAAUAAGAAGAGUAAGAAAACAGCUAGACUUCCUUUUGGUAAAAUGUAGUCUGUGAAUUAAAAGAUCAAAGAAAAACUCACUGACCUUUGGUACCCGAACUCAGAAUGAAAGCACCCAUACUGUUAUAGGAAGGCCAAGAAUGAGUCUCAAAAGUCAGUAACACAUGCGGAACAAGAAUGAACAGAUAUCGAAAAAUAAAGCAAAAUCAUGUAUAUAAGAUCAAUGAAAAAUUGGAAAUGAGGAAUAUGAAGGGUAUUUCCAUUUUAUACAGGUCAAUUCAAGCUUGUUCUAAUAACUUCCUGCUUUCAUACCAAAAGAAAACCACAAUGAUAUGAAGUAAACCAAAUGGAAACUCUGAAAUUUAGGCAUAGGUUUCCUCAGAUAAACUUAGCUGAGGUGUCAUUGAUAUGAAGAAUAUGACUGUUAUAUGUUCUUUAUUUGCAAAGAAAAAAUAUAUGAAAUGUGAAUUUCAGAACAAAAUACAUACUAAACUCUGUUAAGAUCCAGUAUAACAAAGCCAAGUUUUGAAUUACUGAAUGAUGGCUUGCAGUGCUUAAAGUAUCUGUAACUUCCAACAUAUCAAUACAACAAAAUCACCGAGGUAUCCAAUUGAAGGUUUGACAAUGAUACAACGCAUCACUACGCACAUGUAUAAAACCAAAAUAUGCUGCACAAUUGAAACAUCAACUGUUUAUGUUUGGAGAUUGCGCACAUCAUGACAACGUUGCCAGCUUGUUGUUCACAAACAGCUCCCAUUCAGCUCAAAACUAGGGCAGGAAGAGCUCACUCAUUCGCUCAUUUAAUAAAGAAGCCUAGCUUGAUCUUAUAGUCUAGAUUGCUUGGUUUAGGCUCAAUCAAAUUCGAAAGUAUUGAUAAAAGACAAAAACAGUAACACAAUAAGACAAUAUAGCAAUUUGUAUGAAAGAUUUGUGUAGAAAAAAUGUAUUUGAUGUUAUACUAGCACGAUUCUAAUUAUAUUGGGUAAAGCAAUAUAUGUUUGCUCAAAGUUCAUAUAAUUAAAACCCUUACUAGUCUCGUUUGUUUGAUAGUAGCUUGAGUUUGACUAUUAAUAAAUGGACCUACUUGAGCUUAAGCUUGAUUACAAGGUGACUCAAGCUUGAGCUUGUUUGCUCAUGUUCAGCUCAUUUACAGCCCUAUAUCAUAAAAAACAACUGAGACUCAACCAUAAAUAUUUCUAUGCUACGAUGUACUAAAGAAUACAGUCAUUCAGUAAGAUCCAUCUUGGAACCACAUGGCAAUCACAACAAUAUACAACAGGACACUGUCAUAUUCCCCGUGAAGUUAUAAUCUAUAGCCAUUAUAUAAUCAUAGCUUCUAACUUCUAACUUCUAACUUCUAACAACGUUUGCAUAUGCACACAUAAAACUUUUGAGAGAGAGAGAGAGAGAGAGAGAGAUCAUAGAAGCAAAAAAGAAAAGUGAUAAUACCUAGCUGCUAGUCCAACACAAACUGUAGAAACAUCAGGCCUGAUAUGUCUCAUUGUAUCAAAAAUAGCCAUGCCUAUUAGGAAGGACCAAAUAAAUUAGCAUUAGUAACUAAUAGGAGACACAACAGGAGACAUAAUUGUAAGAACCUGACAAACAAUAUUAAGAGAAAGCGAAAAUCCUUACCAGCGGUAACCGACCCUCCUGGAGAAUUAACAUACAUAACGAUAUCCUAUAAGAAACAUCAAGCAAGUUUAGACAUUUGUGAUCUGCAAGGCAGGUCUAAAUUGAGUUUUUUGCUCAAUUGGAUAGAAAGAAUGACAAUAAAAUAGAAGUCAUAUUUAAACGCAACAAAAGAAAUAUAUAGGGAAAAGAAAUUUCUAGGAGAAGUCUAAAGAUCAUUAGUGAAAGUAGAACAGCCACUCAGACAAAUAAUGUUAUAAUCUUACCAGUAAUUCUUUUAGAGAAAUAAUACUUCACUCAAUAAGAAAAUAAUCAUCAAAGUAGAACGAAAAAUGACUUACCAUCCUGAAAAUAGUAGCUCGGUGCAAAAAAAAGAAAAAGGUUAAAGAACAUUUAGCUUUUUCAUGCCAAAUAACACUACUAUCUGGUGACUUUCGAUGAAUUAGACAUGUUUAGUUAAACAUUUUCAAGGUUCAAAAAUUAAAAAACACAGUCAAAACCUAUUUCACCUGAUAAGAAUAUACAAUUGUAAGUAUCUAUGAAUGGUAGAUAUUUCCAAAAGUUUGCGUUGUCAACAUAUAACACGCUAUCAUCUUUUAACAUGAGGCAUAAAGCCAAAAGCAUCUUUCGGCCCAAUCUAUUUCUAUCCACCUUAUCUUAUUUACAUAAGAAGAACAAAUUAAUUAACAUGAAUAACAUGAAUAGGACUAGGGAUAUGAACUCGCGAAAGCGAUCUUCCAGAAUCCUCUUAUUCUCCUGCUAGAUUUACUAUCGCUCGUAACAAGAAAUUCUAACUGAUUAACAUUCUGUUAAUUGCAUACAUCCACAAGUCAUUGCCAGAAAGAUCUAAAGCUCCAGCUAUCUACCAAAUCAUUUACACAAACAGUGAGCAAGAAAGAACCUUGGUAGGAUCAACAGCAUCAAGAUAGAGCAGCUGCGCCACGAUGAUGUUCGCCAUGUCGUCAUCUACCGCACCACCGCACCGAAUUAUCCUCUAAAAAUCGCGAGAGUUAACAAAUUCUUUCAAUUCAAAAGGAAUGAACCAACACCUUGAUACACCCAAAAGCCCUCCCCGGAAAAGAUGCAAACCCUAAUUAAAUCAAACACCGAACCCUACAUGCUGAAAGAGCUGGCUGAUGACGCUCUGGAACCGCUCCUGCACCAUCGGCGGGGGUCCCUGCCCUCCCUGCGCCUCCACCGGAAAGUACGGCGACGACGGCACCACCAGAUCGUCCCUAAAACCCAAACCCCUAGAUCAGGAACCGAGAGGACGAAGCUUAGAUCCCAGAAGGAACCGAGAGGACGAAACCACCAACCUGAUAGACCAAAGCCCACUCCUCUGAGCUCGAUCUUGAGCCCAGAAUCCACCUGUGUAGGCAGCUUUAGGGGAGACGAAGCCGCCCUUGAGAGAUUUACCUUUCCUGGGAGUGGGGGGAAAUGGAGGGAGAGGUAUUAGGGUUAGAAACGAAGAGAAGAAGAGGCGAAAGAAAGAGAGAGAGUACCUGGGAGAAGGGGAGGAGGAAGGGAGGUGGAGGUGGAAGGAGAGGGGUAGGGUUUUGGGAGGGUUUCGGUGGAGGCAGGGGAGAGGGGAAGGGCGAGUCGCCAUGAGAGAGGAGUUCGCCAUUUUUACUAAUUUCGAAGCUCCCCCACUCUUCUUACUUCGCUUAAAAGGGUUUCUCUUAUCCGAUAAUAAUAUGGAGGAAGACGCGGUAUAGAGAGAGAGAGAGAGAGAGAGAGAGAGCAGUGAGCUCGACUCGGGUCCGCCGGAAAGAUCUGGAGCUGAAGAAGAUUAGCCCCGAUUUUCAGAUUAAGUUAAAAAAUUAUUUAAACUGAAGUGAAAAUGAUGUUUUACUCUUCAACGUUAUUUAUUUUGUACGAAGAUAAUGUUUUGAGACGAUAGUUUUUUUUUUUUUUGUCUCUUGUUUUACUGAAAAAUUUAUACUAAUAUAUGAUAGGAAUAGGAUUAAAAGAACUAUCGUAAUUAAAAGAACUAUCGUAAUUAUUAUUUUACCGUGAAAAUUAAUUUUUUUUUUUAUUAAUUAACUAAUAUAUGAUAGCACUUAUGCAUCUCAGUUAACUAGCAGUAAACUCACAUAUAUCAUUUAUAUAGUAAGUAUAUAGACAGAGAAAGUAAUAAGGCCAAGCAAUAUUGCGUACAAGGAAAACUAACCACCCCGUGCCACACCUUACUCGACUAUCAUCUUUCCCAUCUCCAUCUCCUGAAACCAUUCCAAUCUCAAAGCCGCAAGAAGCCAACAGUCAACUGAAAAGCAAUUCUUGGAAGGCGCAGAACACACAACUGGAAUAAUAACAUCGGUUCAACUAAGCAUAGUUUUAACUAGUUAAUCAGAUCUCCAGAAACUACACAUUAGGAUUAGCCAAUCAAGUUCUAAGGCUCUAGGAACAUAUAUUGUGCUCUACUAAUUGAUUAUAAGUUUUAUACAGAUAAUAGUUGUUUCUGCUACUCAGCAACCGGCGGCCUUCAGGAAGUUGUCGAAGGGGCUAGCCGGAGGGAGUCGUAGGGCCAUCCACGGUUCCGAGGGCUCAGAUAAGUCCUUCUCGAAGCCAUAAGCAUUCACCUGGAGGAGAAAAGAUCAGUAUGUCUUUCAAAUGCUUUGGUACAAUUCAUCUCAGCAACGCGUCAUUGAUUAGAUUAUGAAUUUUGGGUAACAACAGACAGGCCUUACCAGAACCGCGGUGCAUCCUGAAAUGGGUACUUGAACUUGAAAAUUUUCUAUUUUACAGCCUCACUCUUAUUAAUAAUAUUAUGAUACUCUGUUACCAUUAUUAGGUUCUGAGAGUACUAAACAGAAUUUUACAAGUCAUAAGUAAAGAAAGGUCAGGUAGUAACAUCGAAAUUUUUGCGUUCAGAUUCCCAUUUCAAGGCGCACUAUCGUUCAAUCUGUUCAGGUACGUCCAUAGGUUUGUGCCUAAAUUUUAUGCGCUUGCGUACCUUCUGAAGACCGAACUGCUGAGUCAUGGGAAGAACUGGCAUGUGAGUAUCUUCAACCAAGUCGGGGCCAUUAACAAGCCAACUUGAGAGCUUCUUCCUUGUGACCGUGCCGAGAGCCUCGCACUGACUAGCCAUUGUGCCGUAUGGGACGGGUGAGGUUGAGACUGAAGUUCCAGCUACCUGGCCAGCUACAUGAAGUGCCUGAAUAAAAACGCAAAAAAGUAUGACAACCCCAACCAUGACUUGUAAAUUUCUCAAGUUGACCUAUUAAAUUUCCUAUCCACAUCUUUUUAUCAAAGAAACGCCUUUUUAAAUUGUAAAGAAAACAUACCAUACGUAAAUGCAGUAAAAAAAGGCUGCUGCAUAAAUUACAAGGGUUAAAAUAGCAGAAUGUUUUUAUGCUUUCCUAUCAUCACAGGAGACCUAAAAGACAAAUCUUCAAACCAUACUGUAAAAAUGCAGAUCUAAUAAAUGAGAUUUCCGUAGGCAAAUUUGUGCAAUGCUAGUUGAUCCGUAAUCAAGCAUGGGCUGAAGUGGAGCAUAUCACAAGUGUAUCAGUAUCACAAGGAAAGACGUACCGAUUCAACCAAUUGGCCAACACUUAUUAGGUGGGGAAAAGAUGGUGUUGCAGGCACAUUUGAGAUUAACCUGGGAAUAUCAGUAUGUGGAGAUUCCCCGACCAUUUCACCAUCAAUUGAUGAAGUCCUUGAACAUUCCUAUGAUGUAAAAAAAUAAGCUAAUUAGUAAUUUCAGGUACAAUAAAUAUGGAUUCUUCAGUAAUAUGCAAGGAUAGAAGGCGUCGUCAUGGGGGAAAAAGAGCACAAGAAAAGGCAAAAAUUUAUUUAGUUACAAACCAAAAAAGUGAAGGCCCUUUAUCUAAAAAGCCCGAAAAUGGAACAGGGCACAAGGUUAAGUUUAAUUCAACCUUAAAUAAACUCAAAAAGAAACUCCACUUAACCAGCAUACCUCAUCAAAAGAAAGUGAUUCCUCAGAAAGUGCGAGAGCUCGAGUGUUGGCCCAGUCAAGUGCUGGACAAGAUCCAAACAAGGAUAUGUCUUCGGGAAUGAAAGUUUCAGUAAGCUGCCUCUCUAGUACAUCCUUCUCUAACUAAAAAUCCAAGCAAAAUAGCCAUAGCAGUCACUUUAUCUUUCCCCAAUGUCUAUCUUAAAUCAAAUGAGAAAAAGGCAUUACUCUGGAAAGAACUUACGUCUGUUAAGUUUGAAAGAGCAUGAAUUAUUAUGUCAAGUAGCUGCUUGUCAGAAGAACCCACAAGCUUUCUUAAGUCAACUAGUGUGGACCUAGCUGCUUGCUGAUCAGCAUCAGUUCCAUAGUCCUUCAGAUCAGACUGUGGCCUUACAUAUAACUGUGAGUCCUCGGCAAUUUUCAGGAAAGGGUCAAUCUGGAUAAAGAUCAUCAAGGAAAGUAAAUAUUGGUGGAAGUAUAUUUGAAAAACUCGCCAUCAGCCCAGUAACUUGUUUAGAAUUCGCUAAAAAUAUCAACGGAAAACAUAAUUUUUCCAGUGGAUCAAAUCGAAGCUUUUGGGCUCAAUUCAAGCAAUUAAACAUUUGAAGUUAUAUAAGUCAAACAUAUGAACUAACCAAUAGCCAUCUAUAGAAACUUACAUUUAAAGUUGCAAAAGAUUUUAGUGAGUCAGUCAAUUCUGUAAUUUGAAAGAUCCUUCCAGCAAAUGCUAGCAUGCCUGUUGCCAAGGUAAAAAGAGACCGUUGACACGAGGGAGACAGAAGUCCUGGAAAAUCAAAGAAUUCGCAAACAAAUUUACUAAGAAAAGAAGUAAAUGAUGAAAUAGCGAAAGAAAGAAGCAUGAUAGGGAACAAAACCAUAAUAUGUUUUAAUAUGUCCUACCAUUUGAGACUAAAGAAGCAUUUCGAAGGGAUAAUGGAAGCUGGAAGAACUUCACUGUAUUACUAUGGCUUGAACUCUGCAGGUUGACAACAUAAGUUUCUCAGAUUACUACAAAAUGUAGCAAUAAAAGGCUAUGGUAUUAAAUAUUAAGACAUUCUAAAUAGUGCCUGGAAGUACCACUAUUAAGACAUUCUAAAUAGUGCCCACUCAUUAUUUUAAGUACGUACCUUUCUAAGCACCACACUAUUGCACUUUUUAAGUACAAAUAUAUUACACGAUUUUUUAUGUACUCUGUGACUUCUAAAUGAAAGUACAAAUUACCCAACAACUAAUGAAAACAGAUAGGCACCUUAAGGCGAUAAGAAAGAAGUGUCAAGCAGAACGAAUGGGCAAUAGCUUCAAAAUUGAAAGGCAAAUUAUCUGCCUGAUUUGCUUGCAUCCAGAAGCCAGACAAUAAUUGAUCUACUUGCUCCUCAGUUAAAAGAAUAAUAUUGGCUCCCUGUAACAAAUAUUGAGAAAAAGGAAUUGUGAGUCUCUCAGAAUUGUGAAUUGCAGUUGUUAGUUGAUUACAGCUGUACUAGCCAUUAGAAAAAAUCACGUAAGACCAAAACAACAUCGAACCCUAUACAUCAGUUAGAAAAACGGUUAUUCUAAGACUCACGUUGUUAGAGAAUGGUAUACUAUGUAUCUUAUAAUUAACUCCUUUUCCUAACAAUUGGGCUCAGAAACAUUAACAGGUUCAAAAUAUGGGUUGGUUAAAUAGUAGAGUAUUUUUCCAAUUAAAAUAACUGAUUGCUCUGGUACCUUCUGAAACUAUUGAUUUCUCUCAAACCUUAAGUGAGUAAAGAAUAAUUUAUAAUUUAUUAUUUACUAUAUAGUUAACAACAAUACCUAUCCUGAGUUUCUCACCCAAAAAAAAAAAAAAAAAAAAAUCAAAUUCUCCAAAGCACAUACCAUUCAAAUUCUUCAGAGACACUGCACAAUAAACUCAUGAUUCAACUAGCAGAUAACUCACCAUCUCCGUAGAAUUGGUUGAAUUGACUAUUCUGUCAAUAACAGAGAAACCCAAUUUUGAAAAAUAAGUGGAAUUUCUUCUGGGCCAACUAUGCUUGCUCUCCUCAUCCCACAUAAUUCUUUCCUUGAUAUCAUCGUGUGCACUACCUCCAUGCUUAUCCACAUUAAGACUUUCCUUUUCCCUACGAAGUUUUUCAAGUAGAGCAGUAGCUGAGGCAAAUACUGAUGUGGUUCGGGAUUGCCACUUCCUUGUCUCAUAUAAGUACUCUGUUUCACUCCUCGGAUGAUUUGAGGCGCGAACAAGAAUAGCAGCAUACAUUUGGUGUGCUCCCAGACGAGUUUCAACAUCUGGAUGCAUCAUAGCCUUCAAUAACUGUAGUAGGAGUGCUUCUGGAAAUACCUGCAGAUCAGCAAACCAAUUAUAGGAAGGAACAUUUCAGACAAGCUAUAAAGACAGAGGAAAAGAAAAAGGAAAGCCAAAUUAAGUCUUUAAACAGAAAGAAACCAGGAACAACAAAUUUAAUUUUACAUUAUAUAUAUAAGAAGUCCAAUUUUGUAAGGUCUGUCUAGAAUAAACAUAAGUUAUAUUUUGUAGGCCAUGUCUAGAAUAAAUAUUUUGACAUUCAUAAAGAAACUUUCAAAACAUUUCAAAGGUACAAGCUUUAAGAGUAAGACAAUGAUUUGAGUAACAUAAUAGUAUUGGUACCAGUGCAACAAUGGCAUCCUUCCAAUUUUACAAGCAACAAUUAUAUUUAUAAAGAUGUCAAUGACUUUAGCAAAUACAUAAAUAAACAAUAGAUCAUAUGCGGAUGAGAUGACCAAAUAUAUUAAGUAGUGAACUAUUUCAAGUCAUGCAGGCAGACUUGGAACCAGAUAAAAAAAGUCUUUCUGUUGGGAUGAUGAAAUAACGAAAGUUCACUUGUCCCAUGCAAUAAGUUAGGUGGUGGAUAUUUAUUUGAAAAAUGGCUAUACAAAGAACAAAAACUAGACAUCACCAGUUUUUGAUACAAAAUGCCAGAUCAAAACACAACUCACCAUCUGCAAUUGCAAAUUGAUUAAUGUCAACGAGAUGAUGUGAGAAAGAAUCAGCAAACUUCCCACUGUUGCCCUGGCAACAGCAGCAGCAGUAGGCAAUUUCUCUAGUGUUAUUGCAAUCAUGUCAAAGAGUGGCCGUAGAUCAUUAAUCUGACAAAAGAAAUUUGAAAAUGACCAAGUUAGCAAUCACUACAAACAUUAAACACAAUUGGUUAAUCUGUUGUUUAACCAGCAUUAAGGACAAAAGAAACUGGUGUUUUAGAAGAAAGACUAGAGACAGUAAUUAGAAUUGACUAAUAAUGUUUUAGAGAGUUAUGGGCAUACUCCUUUAACAAUCUCCAACAGGCAAUCCUCGAUAGAAUUUUGGAGCGACUCAUUCAAGUUCGCCUCUUCUAGUCCAGCAGAUUCAACAGUGGCCUGUAGACUUUUCCUUAAAUGCCUGCACAAGUCACAGACUACUCCAAUUUCAGCAACCACUCCUCGAGACCUAAGUUGUCGAGCCAAGGAAGUGGCAGUUUGGAUAAUAUCAGAUUUAAUCCGAGGGUCAUUCACAACAUUUUUGUGGUCCAGAUGUCGAAUUAUAGCAGCCAAAAUCAAUUGUUCAUUUCCUGAAAGAAAUAAGAGAGAUAAAUAUCAACAACACAAAUGCACACCUCAAGUACAUAAAUUCUGUCAAGCAGAAAAACUUGAGAGUAAAAAGGUGAGCAGUAUUACCAGAAGUCUUCUCUAAGUAACACAUAUCAGACAAAACAAGCAGAGCUAAUCCACGGCGAGGUGCCCAUUGUCUUCGAGUAUCAAAGUAAAGAAGCAUGGGCUCCAAUACACGGCGCAUGGUUGUGCUUUCCUUUGCUAGCUCAGCAAGUUUCUGUAUACAAAUGUGUGACCAUACUUCUGGAGAUUCACGCUCCUCUCUGAAUAAUGUAUGAGCAAUGCAUAAGUCUCUAUUAUUCAAGGCACACACAGAAAUUUCGAAAAUGCAGUAAUAUUAAUACCAAAAUGAGUAGAAGCAUAUAUAUUUUUUGGAAUGAAGAGGAAUCUAAAAUCUAAAUAUACUGCACGACUGAAGAAGAGUAACAGUCACCUGAAAUAGGAGUAACUAAAUAAGUAAUUAUAUAAAACAGGAUAGUUUAUAUGUAUGAAAGAUUCAUGUAGAUCGAUGAGAACAUUCCUAUGUAUUUUCAGCUAUUGUACAAGUAAGAUGUCACCAGUGACCCUCAACCACUGGUUCACUGUCAUCAAGAUGUUUAUCAAUAUACACACUCCCAACUUGAAGUUACAAUUUCCUUCAUCAUAAUGGACAGAAAGUUUUCUAUUGUCUGAGAUAACAAGUUUUUAAAGAAUACAGAUGAUCAAAUUUAAGUAGCACAAAUAUGUAGAUAUAAAGAUGCUCUUCAAUGUGAAAAAGAAAUAAAAGAGAAAUGCCUAAAGAAAUUUAAAAAAAAAGGGCCACUGAAACAAGAAGAGAGUGUGAAUCCACAAUAGUAACAUAAAUGUGCUUUGUUACAAGUGAAAUCAGAUGAAUCAAAUCUAAUGAUGAAAAUGUAGUUUCAUACCCGGUCAGAGUUGAACAAUCCUUUGCUGUAGGCCGUGAUCGUGCAGUUGUACUGUUUGUGUUGACAUCAUUACCGACAACCAGGCCGGCUUUUGCUUCACAUCUAACUACUUCAUCAACCCAAUUAUGCUGGGAUUCAUGUCUUUCAUCAUUACCAUUAAUUCGCUCAUCUAUUCGGUAAUUCUCCAAGAUGGCAUUAAUGAUCUGAAAAUUACCCAAGUAAGAUCUGAGGUUCAAAAUAUUGCAGUGCCGCUAAUUCUACUUGAAAUAAAUUUCAUACCAGAAAAAAAAAACUAGGAUAGCAAAAAAAGGGGAUCAACCCAAUUCCACAGAUGGUUACAGUCUGAGCUAAGUCAAACUUCAUGGCCGAACUAGGCAAUGGUGAGCUUAAACAGUGUGCAUUGUUACAAGCUACAAUGAGAUCAUAAUUUAUCAACCCCAAAUAGUAGCAUCAUCUCAGUAUAGAUACUCUUCUCAAUAAUAAAAGAAAGAAAAAAGGAUCUGUCUCUAGGAACACCACCUCAUCAAAAUCAGCAAAAAUAUAAGAAUGCUCGGUCAUAAACCAAACCUGCAAAAGAGUAGUAAUUGUAAGUAAUGUUGCCAAAGUACAAAGAACUAUUGGUGACAGUGUAUAUAUCUGAAUAUGUUUCAAAAUGAAGAAAUCACCAUAGCUGACAAACACUGCAGGCUUGCAGCCCUUAGAGGACUCUUCUGUUCCUCUCCUUGCUCACAGGCAAGCGUACACACUUUAUGAACCAAGCUUUCGAUGUUUCGUGCAUAUGUGUUGUCUACCUUUUAAAGCAUCAGUAAGAGUCAGUAAAACAGAAAUAUCCAAAUGAUCAAAACAAUCAGCAAAACACAACUGAUAGCCAAAAUCACAAUAUUUCCCCAAACUACAAAAUAAUAUAUAUCAGUGCAACACAAUUAGAUUACCAGAAAAUUAAGCAUAAAUAUAGGUGUAGCCAAAAGAGUCAAGAUGAUUUCCAUCUUUAGUGAAACAGCUGAGUGGAAACUAUGAAACAUAAUCAGUGAAUCAGAAAUUUUGGAGGAAGAAUAUCAAUGUGCGAACUAAGUUUCGGCGUGAUUGUUGCAGCUCCUUUUGUUAUAGAGAACAAUAUGCCCUCGAAAGCACAUGAAGAAUAUACUAACUCUUUCACUAACAAAUAAAUGCCUACUGAAACAACUAGGAGACUCAAAAACAGUAAACCAGAUAAAUGAAUAUCAUAAACAUUAUCAUGCCUCACCUGGCUAUAGAUAAAUCUUGUCAAAGUUUGGCAUCCAAGAAUCAGUAUAGCAUCUUGCUGCUUGCUUUCUAAAAGCUCAAUAAUAACAUUCAAUAGGCUGAUUGCAAAAUAUGCCCUACAAAAUGUCACUAUCUAUUAGCCAAACUGAUAUCUUAGAACAGCAACAAAUCAGUUGAAUGAAAAAUUACAAAUCAAAUGGUAGAUAAAAUCAAUUAACAACUUACAUCUGCUCCUUACAGAUGAAUAGUAAUUUACUGUAGAUUUCAAUAAUAAUUUUAACAAAGUUCACGUGCCCAGCCCGCAGUUCUUUGUGACUCCGUUGCUCAAGAAACUUGGCAAUCUGCCGACAGAUAUGGAAGUAGAUUAGCUAGUUUUCAGAUUCUGCUUAAAUAAAUUUAAGAACAAUGAUUUUGAAAUGUCGCACCUUUGGGAUCCGAAUAGGAUUUUUGGCUGCAUACUCACAAAGUUUCAUUAUUUUCCUUUCAUUUGGAGGACCAUCCUGCACCCAAAUGUAACCAUGUAUUGAGUCCUGUAGCUGUAGAUAAUACUAAAUUUGAAACAUAGGAAUGUCGAAAAUGUGCAUGCAAGCAGAUAAAGCCAUCACUUACUGCAUAAUGUCAAUUUGGGACAUUCGACUGUCUGAAGCAAUAUUUCAACCGAUAUUUCCAGUGAAUAGGCAAGGUAUUGAAUAAAAUUAGCGAAACGCUCCUCUCUAGUAGCUUAAUCUUUUAGCUAGACACGGCUCUUCUGCGUGGUAUCAAAGUAUGAGGUCCUGAGUUCAAGUCCUUCCACACUUAUUGUUUCGUUUAGUUUCCACGCCCAAUUAUUCAAAGCGCACUUGGUCAGCUAAUCAAAAGUCUCAGCCCAAACGUGCUAAAUAUAAGAUUAUUAAAACGCCAUUGUAUAGUACGCCAUUAGCUUAAGAUUUUACAGAAAAGCAGUUGUUUCAUUCAAGGAUUUACAAAAAAUCAAGUCUACUUGUUAAUUAAUUACCACAACAAGCAAAACUAGCUAUAAUUUAAAAGUCCAUUUCCUUCUCUCUGAGAAUGGUAUUUCCAUCUCUCAUCAACAUGUUAAGCUCGGGAAAAAAAACAUAAAACCCAAACUAUAUCAACAAGUAUACUACAACUACUCAAAAAAUAAAAUAAACAUAACAAGGACAAUGCCACUCAUCUCUACAAGAAAACAAGCCAAAAAAGCCACUAAAUAAGCUUCACAUUAACGAAACGAGCACAAAGGAGCGAUUUUUACGAGCGUUUUGGGGAAGAUCUCGGCGAGGAGCUUCUUGUAGCGCUUCACGGGGCGGCGCGAGCUCGGCCGCAGCGCGGGGCAACACACGCACAUGCUCCCGCACGAGGGGAAGAGCUUCCGCGAGACGAACCCCAUCGGAUCGGAUCGGGAGAAAAAUUGUAGGAAAAAAAAUCCCACACAACAAAAAAACGCCAAAUCAAAGAAGAUCCAUCACGAAUCGACCUCUUAGAGCGGCACCACGACGCCGGAUUCAGCUGAAACCCUAGAAAUCGAAGAAGCCACAGACGAGGAAGACGCUGGAACCUCCGAGAGAUCGGGAGAAGGGCGUAGAAUGCGAUGAGAGGGAGAUCGAUUUGGGGGAUUUGGUCUCUUCCACCUCCAAAGGCGAGUGUGAGAGGGAUUUGUGAUUAAAAUUUCCACCCAAAAACAGAAAAAAAAAAAAAAAAUUCGAGAGGGAGAGGCCGGGAAAGGAGGGACGGAGCACGCCACGUGAAGCGACGCAUCAGGCUCGGGUUUCUUCGUAGGUGUAAGCUUUUUGUCAGUGCAACUGUACACACUCCCCCAUCACACAAAUCGUUCGCUGAACCCGGCGUAUCCGUACUUGUCAUGCACCGCAUUCCAAAUCAGUGUCUUAAAAGUUAAAAUCAUGGCUGAAUAAAUUAUAUUUUUUUGGUUCGUGCGCAGUAAAGCGGAUGGCAUUUUGGUUCUCAAUUUUAAAAUUAUUAUAAUUUUUUAUUUUGAAUUGUCUAUACUAUUGCAAGUUUAAUUUAGUUAAUUAAAUAAUAUUAUGUCGCUGAUAUAAUAAAAAUGUGACAUCUUAAUUAUCGAUAUGUUAUCUAACACAUUACUAUCAAAUCACUAAUACUAUUGAAAGCUUUGAGAUUUAAUUCUAAUAAUAAUUUGAAAUUUUCUAUUCAAACAAAUGUACUUUGGCUUAAAAAUAGUAAUUUGUAUCGUACAUUUAAAAUAGUUAAAUAACUUAUAUAUACGAUGAACUAUAGAUUAAAUUGUCCAAAAAAAUAAUGACACCGAAAGAUAUAUCGUUUGAUUCACAAAAAAAUAUUAUUGCCCAAAAUGUACAUUUUUUUUAUAUAUAUAAGUUGUUUAAAUAUGAGGUAACAAAUUUAAUUCAUUAGGUUCUACUUUUGAGAUCUAUUCAUCAAAUUAUAGUUGUGGUUUUGGAGAAGUAGUCGUACACCAGGUUUAGGCAACAAUUUUUUUGUCUCUCUGUCUCACUUGUUGGCUAGUACUACUGUACAUAUGCUGAGUUGGCACUCCUAGUGUUGUCUCAAACUUUCCAAAGUUUGACCUUUUGGGGAUUUGAUUUUAGAAAAUCUCUUUUAAAUAAAAUCAAAGAAAAUGUAUGAAGGCCCCUUCAACUAUAACUUGGUCUGAAAGAGGCUCUAGUUUUUUAAUUAAUAUUUUUAACUUUUUAUUUAUUAUAAAUUUAUAUUAUUUUAAAAACAAAGUAAAUAUUUUGUCAAAUUUAACAUUUUUAGUAAUCAUCAAUUAUAAAGUAAUCAAGUUUAGGGAGCCUAUUUCAAAUUUACAUAUAGUUUUUGGGGAUUUGUAUGGUUUAACUUUGCAUUUUAAGUUACAUCCUCUCAAAUAUUGACUAUUUGGACAUAGGUUCUUAAACUUCUAUUUCUUAUUAAACUCGGAAAAUUUAAACAAUCGACGGUUUUUUUUAAAGAAAACGUAGUAGAAAAAAAUAAAUAUAGUCUCAAGUGUAAAAAAAUUAAGUUGAGCCAAAAAUAUAUAGAGAGAAUUUAUCAGCAUUAUGAAGAAUUUUAAUUGAGCUGUCUAUUUUUUAUUUAUUUAUUUUGAUUUGAGUCUAUAAAUGAUGUUUGACUUCAAAAUUUAUAUACGUCGUUUAUUUUUAUAUAUUUAAUUAAUAUAUUUUAUGUAAUUAUUACAACUAUUAAUUUAUUAAAGUAAUAAAUCUAAAUCUUAAAGUUAGAAUAUUAUAGCGGACUAAAAUUAAAAAAAUUAGACUGUAUAAUUUAAAAAAUUUUAAAAAAGCUAGUCAGUUUAAAAUAGCCUAUAAUUUUUUUUAAAAAAAAAAUGAAAGGUUCUUGAAUGAAUCUACACUUUUUGGGGGCGUAAUUAUAUGUAGCCUUUUAAAAACAUAUUGAAUAAUAAAUAUAUUUUUAUAAAAUUUAGCUUUUCAUUUUUAUUCAUGCAAAAGGUUAGUGAUAUUCAUAUUUGUCUAUUUGAUUUGUUACCGUUAAAGUACUAUUUAUUUUUUAACAGCAGAUGAGUAAAAUGAUAUUUUUGCCUUUGCAAAUAUAUUCUUAAAGAGAUUUCAACUGUUAGAAUUAUGCAUAAAUAUCCUCCUAAAAAAUAAUUUACCUAAUAAUAUAAGAGGGGUAAAAUGAUCAAUUUAACUCAUUUACCAAGUAGGAUUAAGUAUUUUAUGGCAUUUUUCUAAGGGAUCCGAAUAAUAAGGGUAUAUUUGAAAAUAAUGAGACUUUAUAAAAAUUGAAUUUUGUAAGAAUAUAUAUAUAGAGUUAGGCUGGUAUACUAUCGGUAGCACGCCAAGUUGUUUUCAAUGAUGCAGCUUCCAAAUUGACGAUCGGCUCCGUUAGACUUGAUCUACAUUAUUAAAAGUAUUUGAAAAUUAAAUUUCAUAAUUUUUCAACAUCAUUUGGCUAGUGAUUAAAAGGUCUCAAAAUUGACAAUUUUAAUAGUAAACGUGAUGUGUUCGUGAAUUUAACGAUGUAAAACACUUUAAAUCUGAUAAAAUGUUUAUAGAAAAUUAUUUUCACUAUUUAGAGUAAGAUCAGUACUUCUGAUCUUAAAUUCAAGUCUUUUAUCAUCAUAUUUUAUCAGAUUUUUAUUUUUAGCCAACAAUUUUUAGACUACUCGUUUGAUAGGUAAAUAAUGCCGAAAAAUUAUGAAAUUUAAUUUUCAAAUACUUCCAAUAGUGUAGAUCAAGUCUAACGGAGCCGAUCGUCAAUUUGAAAGCGACAUCAUUGAAAACAACUUGGUAGCACGGAGGCCUCCGUACUACCGAUAGUAUACCAGCCUAGCUCUACAUAUAUAUGUGUUUCGAUAUGUUUUCAUGAAGCUGUAUGUAUUUUUUUUUUUUCUUAAAAAGUGAGACCUACACCUACCUAGGACCUAGCUCAAAUGGUUAACUACAUUUCUUUAAGGCUUCGUUUGAUUCGGGUAUAAGCAAGAACUAGUUACAUCGGGGAUAGGUACAAGUAUGGAUUUUCGUAGGAACAAGAGUAUUUUUUUAUUUGGAUGAAAAUGUGGGUAUAAGCUGGAACUAGAAAAAUUGUGUUUGGAUGAAAAUGUAAGUAUAAGGUGGAAUAGCUGGUAGUUAUAGAUAGAAAAUAAUGAUUUUAUCCCUAAUAAUUUAAAAUUUUUAACUUGUAAUUUUAAAUUAAAAAUUUUAAAAUUUAAAAUUAAAAUUAAAAUUUUUAAUUUUUAAUUUUUAAAUUUAAGAUCAAAUUUAAAAUUGAAAGAUAUAAAAUAUCAAGUUUUAAAUUUAAAAUCUAAAAAAAUUAAAUUAAAAAAACAAAAAUUAAAAAUAUUAAAUUUAUAAUUUAAACAUUAAAAUUUAUAAUUUAAAAUUAUAAAUUUAAAUUUUAAAAAACUAAAUUAUAAAUUUUAGAAAUUUAAAUUUAAAUUAAAAAUCACACACACUCUCUCUCUCUCUCUCUCUCUACCCGGGAGGGGUGGAAAUUUUCGUUUGGAUACAAGAGGGGGGAUAACCUCCUUAUCCCCUCUUGUACCCAAUCCAAACGGUACCUAAUAUUAGCAAAAUAUAUUUAAAAAUAAUAAAAUUUCUAACAAAUAAAAAUAAAAAGAAAAAAUUAAAUUCUAUAAAAAUAUAUCUUUUAUUUAAUAUAUCUAGAAAGCUGUACGUAAGUCUAACUUUUUUCUUUAUUUUUCCCCUUAAAAAGUGAGACCUAUGCCUCCCCAGGACGUAUCUCCGAUGGUUAAGUUGAAAAAGGAUUAAGAUAGAAUGCUCGACAGUCAACAACACGCAUCAUUAGCCGGGCUAACUUUUUCAGCUGGCGUGGACGUCCCAAACUAACUUCCCGCCCGCAGCGACCAAUCCAUUACUUGAAUUCAAAAAUAUCUGCUUCAAAAUCUCUAUCUAUUUAUCAAUUUUGAUAAAUAAUUAGGAUAAAAAAUAUAUAUAUAAAAAUAUUUAAUAGAAAAAAAAAUUUAGAUUUCUAAAUUUUUCUCUAAUUAUCAAUUAAAAUUGAUGAAUAAUUAAAAACUUAAAAGUAUAAGGACAACGGUACUCCUAAUACCACAUCAAAAAUAUAUAAUAUAUAAUAAUAUUUAUUAUAUUUAUUUUACAAAAAUUAUAAAGUAAAUAAUAUUAAAUGUUUGAAAUAGGAGUUAAAAGAUUUUUACAGAAAAAAAAAAUCAUCCUCAAAUUUUAUAAUAUUUUAAUUUUUACUACUAUCAUGAAUAAAAAUUUUUAUAUAAUUUUAAAAAAAAUCAAGGAUUCACAUUACUAACGUAAUGUCAUAUCUAAAUAUAUUCGUGCAAUUUACUCAUCCCAUAGUAACCUUAUUCUGGAAAAAAAUUAUUAUAUUUUUAUCCAAAAAGAAGAUAUGAUUUGUUGAUUAUCAAUGAUGCAGUAUAAUUGUUACAUAAUAGACUUUGGCAAGGCCAUGACCACUCUGGCCCUCUCAAUAGCUAAAAUUUUAGUUAAAAAAAUAUAUGUUUUCAUACUCCACCACAAAUUAGUAAUACAUGGUUAGAAUUUAGGAAAUUAACUUUGGAGAAGGAAUAAUUAGCAAUACCUGGUUACAGCAAUGUCAGAUCAAUCGAAAACAUAGUAAGGAGUUUUUCCAAGUACUCGGACCAAACAUACCAACAAUAAAAUUAACAAGGCUAAGAGAGCGUCAUCAUGACUAAUAUUUAGCAAAUAAGAAUAUAUAUUACAUGUACAUUCAAAAGUUAUGUGUGGACUUUACAUCUUAUGUACAUCCAAAAAUUCAAACAAUUCUAUUAAACAUUUUAAUAUUUAAACAUAAUUGUGAUAUAACUAGUGUAAUAAGCUACUCCUGUAUGAAUGAAAUAUAAAACUCAAGGUUUUAAGUGUCCGUCGGCACGGACCGUAUCCACCGUGCCGUACCGUGCCAAUAAAAUACCGGCACGAUACAGACUCCGUGUCGAUGGCACAGCUCAAAACCCUCUAUUAUUUAAAUUAGUAAGUAAUUUCCUCAAUAAAGUUCAAAAGAUGUGAUAAAAAGACAUAAUAAAUAGUUAUGAUAUUUUGUUGCUAAAGAAAGUAAAUUUUUCAUGCUAUUAUGUGUCGGCACAUAAGAAUUUUUUUGACCGGCACGCAUCGGCACGGCUCGGCACGCACCGUGCCGUACCGUGCCGGUAAGUUUCCAGCACGACCUCGUGCCACGGCACUUAAAUCCUUGAUAAAACUUAUGUUGAUCUUUAAGUAUACAAAUAGUAUUGCUCUUCCGUAUUUUGAUGCGAUUUGUGUCUUAUUUGAUCUAAUUUAACAUUGUUCAAUUCUAUAGAUACAUGAAUAAAAUAAUCCAUACUGGAGUUCAUCAGUAGAUUCGCAUGAAAAGUACAAAUUUUUUAAACUUUUUUUAAAUAAACCCUAGCAUUAAUUCAACUUUGGGAGCAUCCUAUGCUGAACACUGUUUGAACAUCCAUUUCAUUGCCACAUCAGAGUAGGCUACCAAAAAUCUGGGACUAGGGAAAUGCCUCUGAUACAAAAGAGUCGCACAUUAGAGGCAUUUGAUAGAAAAAUCCAAUUGUAGAGAACUAAUCCGAAAAUCAAAUCCAACCAAAUAAACUAUUUAUUUUGAUUUAUAUAAUUUUUGAUUCAAUUUGAUUUUGAAAUUUACCAAAAUUUGAUUUUCUGUUUCGGCCCGAUUUGAAUAGUAAUACUUUUUACGCUUUUUAUCUAAACUAUUUAUUUAAAUUCUAUAUUCAUGAUCGAAUCUUGUUCAUAUAUCAAAAUAUUUUUCAAAAUUCUAUCUUGGUAAUUAAUUUUUUUUGUGUGUGAUUUCAUAAUGAUUCACUUUUGAAUCUUUAAAUUAUAAAUUAACUCAUAAGAAAAAUAAAAAAAAUCUAAAUAUUAAUUUCAAAACAGAACAAAACCGAAUUACAGUAUAAAUCCGUUCGGUUCAGUUGUAAACUUUUUCAAACCGAAAAAUUUUAAUUCAAUUUGAUAUUUGCCUAAAAACCAAAUCAAACCUUGAGCAAGAAAACUGUAUUGGGUGUAAACCUUGAGCAAGGUAUUCAUGCGCAAGGUCAUCUUCGUUUGAGUCGGAAUGAGCAGCGGGAUGAUACCGUAUGCAAAACUUUUUGUUUGCACACAUAAAACUAUAGAGAAACACGAGUUGGUUGAGUUGAGUUUGAACCCAGCCCAUGCGAAACCAAAACCAACCCAACCCAACCCAACCAAACCCAAUUUGGAACACAGAUGUAGCGUGUCAAAUGCCAAACUAAUGAGCUCAAUGCAGCCCAUAAUUCACGCCCGUAAAGUAGGUUGGGUUGGGCCAGUUGGGUUUGAACCCAGACCAAAUUGCACACCGUAAAUUAAAGUCGGCGGAGUUCGGAUUAUAGGCAAUUCAUUUAUUUUAAACCGUCGCCGACUUUGAAGACGUUGCCGACUUCGGAAGUUGGGCCGGGUCCGGAGGCCUUUAUCCGUCAAUGGGCGGCGCCUCUCUCUCUCUCUCUCUCUCUCUCUCUCUAAACUCGGGUUGCUUCGUUUUCGUGCGACGGCCCCUUCUCCUCCCAAACCCUAAUUAGGGUUUCCUUCCUCUCCGUCGACGCCCGCGAGCUCUGAUCACCAUCGACCAUGUCGAAGAGGAAGUUCGGAUUCGAGGGCUUCAGCAUCAAUCGCCCCGCCACCUACAGCUUCGAGCGCUCGCAGGCCCCGCAGCGCCUCUACGUGCCCCCGUCCUCGCGCGGGGGCAGCAACCACGACAACUACGAGGACAACGACCUCGACAACAUCGACUACGAGCAAGCCGACGACGCCGCGGCCGCCGAUGGCCGCAGCGGCGGCGACGCCGACGAGAUCGACCCCCUCGACGCGUUCAUGGAGGGCAUCAACGAGGAGAUCCGCGCCCCGCCACCGCCGCCGCCGCCGCACGGGGCGGCGAAGGAGAAGGUGGAUAGGUACGUGGACGAGGACGACGACGACCCCAUGGAGAGCUUCUUGAGGGCGAAGAAGGACGUGGGCCUCGCCCUUGCUGCGGACGCGUUGCACGCGGGGUACAAUUCGGACGAGGAGGUGUACGCGGCCGCGAAGGCCGUCGACGCGGGGAUGAUCGAGUACGAUUCCGACGAUAACCCGAUUGUGUUGGAUAAGAGGAAGAUCGAGCCGAUUCCGGCUCUGGAUCAUAGCGCAAUUGAGUAUGAUCAGUUUAACAAGGACUUCUAUGAAGAGAAGCCCUCUAUAUCAGGUAAAAAAGAAAAGGUUUAAUCACUUCAUUUAGAUUGCUCUCCGCGUCGUAUAACUGUGUGCUCUAUUGAAUGCAUGUUGGUGGUGGAAAGCUUGAAUAUGUCAUCUAAUAAUUCUGUUCUUUAUGGUGGUACUGCCUCAGGUUAUAGCUGAUAUAUUGAUUUUGCUCCCCUUUUUUUAGUAAGAUAGUAGUAUGUCACAAGUAUCUUAUGCCUAUUACAUUUUUAAGAAUCUGCAGUUUCCAAUAUGUUGGUGAUUCUUCCCCACUAUUAUAAUUAUAUAUUAUCAAGUGAUUCCAUACAAAUCUUUUUCUGGAAAUAUUUUUUUUACCUUGUAAAAGGUUGAAGUGUUUAACAUUAACAGGUCGUGGAAAGUAUGGAAUUUGUAUGUAACUCACACAAACUGUUUAAUUACUUACUAGCAAGUAGUAACAUUACUUGGAACUACUUCCACGUGGCAUUUUGUUGUGCACACGAUGUUACAUGUUAAUGUAAGUCUUAGAUGUGUAAUACGUUCGACGUUCAACACUUUUAAUGUUAUAAUUUCUUAGGUAAAAUGUAGUCCUCAUUUUCAGUGUGGAAGUCGAAAUGGAUCGCGGAUGUAUUUUAAAUGUGGUUCUUUGUUGACUUUAGGAAUGAGCGAACAGGAUGUGGCAGAUUACAGGAAAAGCUUAGCAAUUCGUGUUUCUGGUUUUGAUGUAUCAAAGCCAAUCAAACUCUUUGAAGAUUGCGGGUUCUCUACUGCUUUGAUGAAUGCUAUUUCCAAGCAGGGCUAUGAAAAGCCAACACCAAUACAGUGCCAAGCUUUACCUAUAGUACUGUCUGGUAGAGAUAUUAUUGGCAUUGCAAAAACAGGUUCUGGUAAAACUGCUGCAUUUGUACUCCCUAUGAUUGUUCACAUUAUGGACCAGCCCGAAAUUGAAAAAGAAGAAGGUCCAAUUGGGGUGAUAUGUGCUCCCACCAGGGAAUUGGCGCAUCAAAUAUAUCUAGAAGCGAAAAAGUUUGCGAAGCCUUACAAUCUACGAGUUGCCGCUGUCUAUGGUGGUGUUUCAAAGCAUGACCAAUUUAAAGAGCUUAAAGCAGGUUGCGAAAUAGUUGUUGCUACUCCAGGGAGAUUAAUAGACUUGCUGAAGAUGAAAGCCUUAAAGAUGUUUAGGGCAACCUACCUGGUGCUCGAUGAAGCUGACCGGAUGUUUGACCUUGGGUUCGAGCCGCAAAUACGAUCUAUCGUUGGCCAAAUCAGACCAGACCGACAGACUCUUCUUUUCUCUGCGACCAUGCCGUACAAAGUCGAGCGCUUAGCUAGAGAAAUUCUUACAGAUCCUAUUAGGGUUACCGUCGGUGAGGUUGGACGGGCCAACGAAGACAUCACCCAACUUGUUCACGUAAUUCCUUCUGAUGCUGAGAAGAUGCCUUGGCUGCUUGAGAAGUUGCCGUCAUUGAUUGAUGAUGGGGAUGUUCUUGUCUUUGCGUCGAAAAAGGCAACAGUAGAUGAAAUUGAAAGCCAGCUGGUUCAGAAAGGGUUCAAGGUCGCGGCACUGCAUGGGGACAAAGACCAGGCCUCUCGAAUGGACACCUUGCAGAAGUUCAAAUCGGGGAUUUACCAUGUUCUAGUUGCAACUGAUGUUGCCGCUCGUGGGCUAGACAUAAAGUCGAUAAAGUCGGUUGUUAACUAUGAUAUUGCAAAAGACAUGGACAUGCACAUCCAUCGUAUAGGGAGAACUGGCCGUGCUGGUGAUAAAGAUGGGACGGCCUACACUCUUAUUACGCUGAAGGAGGCACGCUUUGCUGGUGAACUGGUCNAUAAAGUCGGUUGUUAACUAUGAUAUUGCAAAAGACAUGGACAUGCACGUCCAUCGUAUAGGGAGAACUGGCCGUGCUGGUGAUAAAGAUGGGACGGCCUACACUCUUAUUACGCUGAAGGAGGCACGCUUUGCUGGUGAACUGGUCAACAGUUUGAUUGCUGCUGGUCAAGAUGUUUCUGUCGAAUUGAUGGAUCUGGCUAUGAAGGUGAGGUCUAUUGAGUCCUGUCUUUUUAUGUUCUUUCCUGCAUUUUGUUCUCCUUGGGAUGAGAAGCCUGCACUACAUUUUCUUUUGUAUUAUUUGUUGGAGCAACUUUAUACUUGAUUUUCCACACAGUAUAUGCAUUGAAAGCUUGCGUAACUAAUUCUCCUUUUUGCUGUUUCCUCUGUCCUUUCUUCCUUCUGUGGUUUGGUCAUAAAACCCUUUCUUGUUCUCUUGUAUAUUGGAAUGCUUUGUAGCGUCUCUGUGAUUCUUUCCAGAUCAUUGUACUGUCACCUUUAGACUUAAUGUUAUUGGAAUGAGUAGCAUGAACUCUAAUAUUUUCCAUCAGCACAUACUUAAAUAAAGGUUUUAUGAGCUAUUUUUGCGAAAUGGUGGCUUCUAAGUUGGAUUUUUCAAUCGUAGGAUGCAAGGUUCAGGUCCAAACGUGAUCAAAGAAAAGGUUCAGGUAUGUGUAUGCUGUUGAAGCGUAUUAUAGUUUAAUAAGAUAACAAAAUAUUUUUCUUACAUUUUGCCUCAGCUAUGCAGCUAUAUAACUCAUUUUCUGGUAUAUAGAGUCAACUCAGCUUUCCGAUAUUUGUUCUUAACCAUGGAAAAUAUUUUCUUAGGUGGGAAAAAAGGUGGAGGAAGAGGAAAAGGAGGCGGUGGCGGUGGCGGUGGCAGUGGGCGAGGUGUUCGUGGUGUUGAUUUCGGCCUUGGCAUCGGUUAUAAACCCGAGGAGUCAAAUGCAACAUCUCAGCCAGCUCCAGGUAGAUCUGCUGCUGUUAAUUCGCUAAGGACUGGGAUGAUGCAACAGUUCAAAAGCAACUUUGUUGCUGCCGCUUCGAGUUCUCAGAACGAUAAUAUAACCCCAAGCGGUAGUGCUCCCAGCGCAAGACCUGUUCUACGAGGUUUUGUUUCUGGUGGUAUGAUUGGUGGAGAGGCGGCAUAUAAAACACAACCGGUCGCUCCUUUUAACCCUCCGUCCAAGCCUGAAGGAAGCACAAACGAAAAUGGGAAUAAGAAGAACCCCGACAGGUUAGUCCUUUUCAGUUAAUCUACAUAAAUGUAGCUCAGUAGUUGCGACUUUGAAUAAAUGUUGUUACAGCAGUGGUUGUUGUCUCCUACACCUACUGGGAGAUACUAUCUCUACUAAAUUUUUCUUUCUAUUCCCUAUAUCAUUUGUUUUUGUUUGAAUUGCAGUUCACGGGAUAGGCCAAGGGAGAGAAAGCGGCCUUCUGGAUGGGAUCGUUGAGCUUUGUUGCAAUGUGUAAAAUACCUUUCUAUUUUGCUUGAUAAGUUAAUUCUGUAGAGGAGAUAUAAAGAAUAUGAGCAACCGGUAUGUUUGGCAAUCUCUUCAUCUUUACUUUUAGCUAGAUUUGCGCACUUUAUUCUGUCCGUCUAUUUUCAUCUACAGUUGGAGAUGUUACAAUGCUUCUUGUUGUAGUCAAAAUUCUUUUCUUUUUCUUUUUUUUUCCCCUCCCCCAUAUAUCCAGCUAUGUUCUAAUUUAUCUGAAUACAAAAAGACAAAAAGGGCAACUUGACUUUUAACCUUACAAGUUUUGUAGACAACUUUGAUGAUUAUCGAUAGUUUUUUGUUGCAAUUGAUCAACCAAAUGUAGUGUAAGUAAUUACAACCCUUUGGUUUCUUGUGUUGCUUACAAAUUCAUCUACUUGCAUCGUAUUGUUAUUGAUGCUUGUGAAUUCAUUUGUUAUGGCAUUCACAGGUGCUUUCUCUAACAAUAUAUGCUCCCUAGGCUGUUUUGUGAAUCAUAUAUACUGGGAAAACUAUUACCCUGUCGACGGAUUAUAUCUAAUACAGGCCACCUUGUCGUUAUUUUAACUUAAGCUUAUACUUUUUGAUGAAUACAAUUUAAGGCCUUCGUUCUUGCUAUUUAGAAUCGCACUUAUGCUUGCAUAAUUUCUAAUCCUAGAUAGUUUGCUUCAUCCUUUUCAAUUCAAAUGGCCACUUGUAGUACUGCUGGUGUAGAAGUGUUUCAACUGGAAUUUGCUGCAUGCAUGUACUGACAUUUUUCAAAAAUGCUAGUCUUUCAACCUGGACUUGUUACAUGUAAACAGUAGUAGUAGCAGCCUGUUUCUUACAACACGUAAAACAACCUGAUAUGCCAUAAGAGGUUAUUUCGCCUUUGGCAUGAUAGUUAUUUAUUUUCGAGGAAACCUUACAACCGUAGAUUAGUAAUGAAUGCUUUUGCCGAUGAGACGAUAUAACAUUUUCACGCCUGCGGGCACUUGGUGACGUCUGCAUCCCUGCGAUUGAGCUCUUUACGUCGUGUAGCAUUGGGGCACAUUUCCAAGCAUGGCUCUGCAAGGGCUUUAUCGUCGUCUGGUUCGGGUGGUAGCACUCCAAAAUUAAACUAGGGAGAAAGGAGUUUUAAGUUAAUCGAAUGAAGUUCAUGGAUGACUAAUGAUGUUCGAUGAGCAUAAGUUUAAUUAUGCACAGCGAUGAUAAUUACCAAAAAGAAUGAAAAUCUGAAAGAACGAAGGAAAUGAAGUAUUAGUGGCGGGUAGGGGAAUGAAAAUGGUAAAAAGUGGGCACUAAUUUUUCAAAAUUUUGCUAGUGAUGGGUAAAUUAACAUAGAAAACCAAAUUACCUGGCAACUGAAGUCGCUGAAAUUUGGCUCCAUGUAUAACGGCACUCCCAUGUAUUCCCUGAAGAAAGUCUGUAAGAAGAAAACGGCAAGCCGAAGUUGAAGGUACAUUACAGUCGAAAACACGACAUAAAUAUAUUUGUUUGUAAUCUCGUUCUACAGUAAUGAGAUAUAAUGGGGCGGAGUUUCCGUUGUCAAGGGGCAUUUUGGCUAAUGCAGUGGUGAAACAACUUAAAUGGAACAAAUGAUAGUAAUGAAAUUUCCAAGAAAUAAAUAAGGAAAGCCACUUAGCAUGGUUGUUCGAAUGACAACUUAUCUCGCUUCAGCGCAAUAAUUUUCUUAACUAUCCAUGACUAAUUUGCAUACCUCAAUAAAACCUGAAUUUUUAUAUAUACCUCACCAAGUAUGGGAUGAAAUCCUGAUCUUAUGUUUACUGGAGUCAUCGGGCCUAUGGCCAGUAUCAAGAAAGAAAAAAAAAAGAAUGAAAAGAAAAGAGAAAUUGGAAGUCAUCCAGUUCAUGAAGAAUUAUACUGGACACCAUUUUUUGAAGAGGGGAUUUUUAAGUACAAGGGUUUUUGAAGGACAUAGAUGAAAAUUCAGAUUUUGUAGUCUUACUAGAUAUUCUGGAUUUUCUGCCUCUAAAUGGAUCUUGCAGUGUAUGCACAUUUAAUAGUGCAUCUGAAGGCUCCUCGCCAACAUUAGAACAACAUCAUAUCCUAGUAAACAAGCAUUACUUCCAAGUAUAUUUGCUUCAAUUCUAUGCCAAGAAGAGAGCUUAAAUAACUAAAUAGUCGUUGUUGAAAUAUACAAAUUGACACACCUGCGUUGGCCGCUUGCACGUGUUUAUACAGAGUCCCACGCAUUUACUUUCCUCUAGAUACUUGCACUUCUCAAUAAACACCUAAAAGCAUAUAGCACCAGCAAUUGAAGCAAAAAAAAAAACUUACAAUAGAAAAACUUACUAUCGCACGAUAGGAAAUUAUAAUUAGUUAACAGGACAGUUGAACAUGAUUCUUGAGAUCAGUAGAAUACCCCACUUGAGCAAGUGGACCCAUCAGGAAGUUCGAUUGCUUUGACCGAGCAGGGGCCCAUCAGCCAUUGACAAGAAAGUACAGUUGCUCUUGCUACAAGAGUGAGAUUAACUAGUCAGCUCUUAGGAUCUCAAAAAUAAUAUGCUGCUGACUGUAAAUCGGUAUUAUCUGAAAGUCACCAACAAAUGAACUCACCAGACAUCAUGGAGGCUAUUCUGCCCCUGAAUAAAGGUGCUAUAAGCCUCUUAAAAAAGACAAGUAAGAAUGGUGGAAACAGCGACCUUAUAACUCGAACCUAAUCAAGUCAUAGAAUAGAAAGAUCUUGUCCAGUUAUUUAGAUCGCCAAACAAAAGAUCAACAGGAAAAAUAAAGCAAAUACUUAGGAGGGGAAACAGUCAAUGCAAUUAUCAUUAACAACAGUUAAGCAAGUACUGUACUUCCCCUGUUCAUUGAGUGUAUGAAGGACCAAAAAGCAAUAAUGAUAAAUAAAUAUGUGCACGACAAUAUAAUACUGACGCAAUCAGUAGGCAUACAAAACACAGAGGUGCAAAUAAGCACAAAAACCCAAAAUCAAAGGCUACGCAUUUGCACACAGAUAUACACAUCAAUACAGAGAGAGAGAGAGGCGUACAGCUGAUUCCUCGGUCUCUCUAUAGCUUCUUCCCUUCAUCAUGCGAUUUACAACUUCAAUUAGCCCAUCAUACCGGGGGUUUUCAGAAUCCCAUCCAACCUCCUACAGCUUUUAUAAAUGAACACAUUGUAAGAGCAAGCUCUUGCUUCUAUAUAUUAAAACACGUCAGCUCAAUAUCCUCAAUGCACAGACAAAUACAGCAACAGUAUAACAAGCAAAACACGAAGAAUGCCAAUUUCUUCAUACAAUCAUACAUUAUUUAAAUUUCAGUCUUCUGUUUCAACUUUCAACAGCUACUAUCUGUGCAUAAAAUAGAUAUGGUUUUUAGUGAGUGAUAUAGAUUGUAUAGAAGAAAUCACGUCAACAUUUCGGUGAGUUAUCUUUUGGCAUGAGAUGCUUAUGGCCUAAAAGACAUGGACAUGGAGACCUAUCAGGAUAAACUGCUAAAUAUACCUAAUUAAAUACUAACCUAAUUUUUUCUUCAUGAGAACUAAUUCCUUGGUCCUAAUCCUAGCUCACCAUUAUUUAACCACCUCAUUCAUCAAAUUCUUAUAUCUGUAAAAACUACUUUGAGCCACAAUCUAAUUGCAGGUGAUAACUCAGUUGGGCUCAAAUCACAUGCCCAAAAUGUUUAAACUCAGUUAUUAAUAUUAGACUCUUCGGGUCUUACUGUGAACUACCUUAUGAAUCUAUGAUCUACCUCCAUCAUAUCUUUAAACCGUAUUUCAUUAUUUAUACAUCGAAAUCAUAAUCUACAAGUUUGUUAAGUAAUUUAGUCGGAGAAGAAGGACAUGUAAUCAUCCAUGAACAAAUACGUACAGGAACGCGAAAUUCCAAAGAGAACUUAGUAGGAUUUUAGCUCAGCUCCACCAUUUUCUUCCUAAAAAACCUGUAAAUCACCUCAUCGACGAAUCCGAAUUCGUACUCUUUUCCCGUCGCAUCACUUUGCACCUGAAAAGAGUGUCGAAAAACACAAGAAACUUCGCAUCAAAACAUUCAUCUAGAAGGCGAUUUUGAAUCAAAUCGUCGCGAGAAAAGGAGAUUAAAUCGACGAACCGCUUCGGAUCGAGUCGGAGAGCAAGCAACGCGAGAUCUAGGGUUUCGGCCGAGGCGAUCGCGGCGUUGAAGAGGAUGGUGAGGUGGGGAGGAGAGGGGGAGAGGAGCGGGUCGGAGGAGAAGGAGAGCUCCCAUGGCGACUGAACUGUUUACGGAUAAAACGAAAAAUAAAGAGAGGAGAAAGGUUUUAUAAAUCGGGUUGUUUCGAUUGUGUUGCCAAAAAUAAAAAGGAUGCAAUAAUUACCCAAAUACGACCAGAAAUUGCGUGGACUCUGCAUAUUCGCACACGUGUACACCGCACUUAUAUAAACACUUGGCCCGUUUAAAAAAUUGGGCUAAUUGUAAUUCUAUUUUUCUCAAAACACAUAAAUAAUAAGAAAAUCAACUACAAGUAUAAAAAAUAUAAAAAAAAUAAUAAUAUUUAAUUAUUAUAUUUGAAAUUUAGUUGCUUUAUAUUUUUCAGCUAAAUUUAUUUUUUUAAAAAUAAACGAAACGACUAACAUGCUUAUUUUUUUUUCUGAAAAAUAUUUAAUUACUGUAAUUUUUUAUUUUAUUUUAUAUGCUAUUAUGAAAGUUUUUAAUAAAAUAAAAAAUAUAGAAUAAUUAUAUUAACUUUCUAUCAGCGGUGAAAAAUGAGUUUCCUCUGAAUUUUAGUUUGUUCGAAAAUUAUUAUUAUUAUUAUUAUUACUAAGAAUUAUUUUCAAGUAAAAUGUCACUUACGGACACAAACGGGUUCUUAAUCUCUCCAGCAUCCGCAGCCCAAAACCCGUCUCCCCAGCAUCCGCACCUCUCUCUCUCUCUGGAGAAUGGCGAGGAACUCGCUCCGCGCGGCGGCGGCUGCGGCGCGUGGGUGGCUGCACCCUACCUCAUGAAGCGCGUCAGGGAGCUCCGCAGGUACGGCCGCCACAACCACGCCUUGGAGGUGAGCCUACAGCUUCUUCUUUUUUUUUCUCUAUUUUUUGUUUUUUAUUUUUUUUAUUUUGAAUUUUGUCGAUGUUUAGGUUCAGUUUGAAUGCAUGAAUAAUUUAUUCAGUAUAUAUUUUAAAAUUAUUCAAAAAAUACAUAGCAUUUGGUAGAUUCAUAGAUUAGUCGCGUGAGUCGUACUAAACGAUGUUGUCAAAAUCUUUCAAAAAAAAUUAAUUUUUUUAUUUUUAAUUAUAUAAAAUUUUUUUAUACAUAAUAAUGAGUUAUUAUUGAAUAUCUUAUUCCGAUUCCAAGCAUGGCCUUAAUCUUGUUGGCAUGAUGGUGCUUCAGUUGGGGUCGUCUGAGACAAGAGAUAAGUUUAAUUUACUUUUUAUUUGUAUUUCAAUGUCUUUUCUUACAGUGUCUUUGCUAAUGCUUGUUAAUUUUGUAUUUUGUAAUUGCUAUGACCCUUCACUAUUAAGAUACACAGCUGUUUUAUUGCUCAUCUUACUUAAUUUUUUGUACAAUUGUAGUGAUACGAUUUUUUUUUUUUUCCUCUUCCAUGUUUGUUGACUCUUAACUAGCUUUUCAGUUAACAUUUUAUUCAAUUAACAAUCUCAAUCAACAGAUGCUUCUUGCUAUCUUUUUUCCUUUUCAAUGUUGCAUUUUUCGCCCUGUCUCUCAUUAUUGCAUCAUUCCUCUUCAUCUAGGUGCGAUUAUAGGUGUAUUGUUGCAAUCGUAACUGUAGUUUUACUAUAUUCUCUCAUAGCUAAAGCUUCUCCUGUCGAAAACACGGCAAUGAAACACGAAAUAGAAUACAUAUAAGCAAAGAUAAUUGUGUUAUUUCUAUUUCUAUUUUCGGAAGUGCUGUUUUUUUUUCCUUUUUAGUAAGUUAAAUUGCAUAGUUUGAAGGAUCACAAUUAUCGAGCAGCUAUUCUUAUUACUCAACUUCAUCAACUCGACAGAUUAUGGAUUGGAUGGAAAAGCGAGGCAUGGAGAUAACCCACGGCGGCCAUGCGGUGCGCUUGGAUCUUAUAUGGAAAACCAGAGGAAUCGCUCCAGCAGAAGAGUACUUUUCAACUCUACCAAACGUCGCAAAGCAACAGCGAACUUACGGAGCUCUUCUAAACUGUUACUGCUCGGAGCGAAUGACUGAAAAGGCUACUGCCCACUUUGAGGAAAUGAAGGAACUAAGCAUACAUUCUAGUGCUUUUGUCUAUAACAACAUAAUGAGCCUUUAUAUGAAGUCUGGUGAAUUCGAAAAGGUCCCUUUUCUCUUCGACGAGAUGAAGACCAACAAUAUUACUCCAGAUAAUUGCACCAACAGGAUUUUGAUUAAAAGCUACGCCUUGAUGAACGACAUGGUUUCUGUCGACAGAGCUAUACAGGAAAUGGAAGGAAACGGAGGUGCCUUAGACUGGUCGACGUACUGUCUCCUCGGCAGCAUUUACAUUUCAGCUGGGCUUUUGGAAAAAGCCGUGAUUGCGGUGAAGAAAGCCGAGCUAGUUAUGGAUAGAGACGACCUGUCGCCUUUCCGUUUCUUUAUAAGCUUAUAUGCAAAUGCUGGUAAUCUGGCGGAGGUCAAGAGGGUGUGGGAUUUGCUAAAGGCAAGAGUUGGAAGGCCUGCGAAUGUGCAUUACCGAUUGAUGCUUCAGGCCCUCGCUAAGUUGGACGAUGUGAGUUCGCUGAAGAAGUGCUUUGAGGAGUGGGAAUCUGGGGCUGUGAACUAUGAUAUGCGGCUUGUGAACAUCGUAAUCGAUGCCUAUACUAAGAAGGAAAUGGUGGAAGAGGCUAAACUGCUUCGGGAAAAGGCUUCUAAGAUGGUUGAAGUUACAAAUUUAUCGUCUGCUUAAAAGAGCCAUGAAGGUGAUCUUAUCUUUUGAAGGAGAAAUAGUGAAACUGGUUAUUGGUUAUGAUGAAUUGCUUGGAGAAUCUGUACAUAUUAUUUAUGGAAUUAGAGGAAGAGGGUAUCUUUUUAUUAACUAGAAAUAUGUAAAUGGCUGCAGUACAAAAAGCUAUGAAUAUACCAGAGCAAUUCAUCUUAAUGAGAGGAAUGAAUGGCCAUCUUGGUGAAAUCAAAAUAGAUCACAUUGGCGAACUACAUACAGUGAUAUUCAAGGAAUCGCGUGCUGGCGGGGGCCUCAUUGUUGUGAUGUUCCUUAUAGCAGCUAACACACGCCUUCGCCGCUGCGUGACAUGAGGAGUCCCGAUCUCGUUUUCUCAGAAGCUUCAGUUUUGCGACAAAGAUUCUUCGAAUUGAUUGAGAAACUACAUACUGAGCUGCUGCCGCCGCCACUCGUUGUCGUGUUAAGGUAGUCGACUCCGGACUUCAACCUGCCCAGGCAGGGUGUGUUAUUCUGCAAACACAUAUAUAAAAACCAAGUUUAGAGUGAAAGUAUGUGGUAGUCUGCCUGGCUUUUGUAUUUUGCGGGUUUUGUUAGGGCCCUGCCUGUAGCUCGGGUCAGAUCGAAUUGUACAACCACGCCUGGGCAUUUCUUUUCUUUGAUUGACAGUUUGACACAAGGACCGACCGUCCCUAGAGCAAGUGGUAAAGGAUUUGGUGAUUGAUAUCCGAGACCUAAGUUCGAAUUCUAGUUGAUUCAUAUUUCUAGCUAAGUUUAUUUCUGAAUGAAAUAAACGAAGCGGAUAGCGUGCUACCUAUCUCUCAAAAAAAAAAGAAGAAAGAAAAAGACAGUUUGACACAAGGUUUUAUUAGUUGAGUUUGCGCUCGUCACUUCCCACUGUGAUUGGGCUUUGUUCAGAUUUAUCAGUAGCACAAUCAACCUAAAGCUUCGUAUAAACCUGUUAUGUUUAUGCAAAACCGUUAUUUUUUCAACAAACCAUAUUAUCUCACUUACAUUCUGUUUUGGCUUGGAAAGAAAAGGUAAAAAAAUAGAAAAUUUUCUUUCGUUUGGAUCAAAAUAUGGGAAGAGAAAAGAAGAGAAAUAGAGAGAAACGGACCAGAAAAUAUUCUUUUCCUCUUCAGUAAUGGAGAGAAAGGAAGAGAAUAUUCUUUUCUCUUUUUUUCCCCUUCUCUUAAUUCAAAAGGCAGGAAAAAAAUUAUAUAUUUUUCUCUAUCCAAAAAAGCAUAUGGUUUUUUUUUUGAUAAAUACAUAUAAAAUUCAAAUCAAAUAAAUUAAAAAAUUAGAUGAUAAAAUUAAUAUUUUAAAAGUUUAAAUUGUUGAUACAGAAUAAUUCGUAUUUUAGAUCCGUUCGAUACAUUGUUACUGAUAAUUUCACUUAUUUGGUAAUUCCCAUGGGGCCACUUUACCGAACAAAAUUUGACGGAAUUUUUUAGCUACUAAGCCUACAAAAUUUUUAAAAUAUAAAAAUAAAUAUUCAAGAUUUUUAUUUGUAAAAAUAACCUUAUAAAUUCUAAAAACUGUGAAUCAUUCAUUUAUUACUUUUAUCCUAAUUUAUAUAUUUUCUACAUCCAAAGCAAAUUUUAGAAAAUGUACCGUAUUAAACACUAACUUGUGUUUGGUUCGGAGUUAAGGGAUGGGAUAAUCUUUUAACCCCGAUUUUAUUUCCAAAUAUGAUUUUAGAGGAGGUGGGGUUACCUAAUCCCACCCCAAGUGGGCUAACCCAGGAUAGCCGGGAUAGCCCAUUUGGAGUGGGGUUAGCUAACCCCAGCUAACCCCACUCAAUCUCACAACUCCAACUAAACAAAAUACUAUUUUACCUACUAUCCUUCUUAUCCCAUCUAUACCAACUAAGCACUAUUUUCUUUAAUCCUGAACUAACUCCAAUUCUCAACCAAACACAAAAAUACUUUAAUCCUUCCUUAUCAAUUCCUAAAAUAACUAGUUUUUUCUUAACCCCGAGCCAAACGGUAGAUAAAAGUAAUUUUAAUUUUUUCAAAAAAACAGUCAAUAAUUUACCAUAUUUCAAAAGAAAUAAUUCAUUCGGACCCAAUUUUUUUAAAAAAAUAUUUUUAUAAUU